GGGGAUUUAGCUUAGUGGCAUAAGCGCCUGCCUGGCAAGCGCAAGGUUGUGAGUUCAAUCCCCA
RNAcentral lists this transfer RNA (64 nucleotides) under Cavia porcellus (domestic guinea pig). It matches the Rfam family "tRNA", at positions 1 to 62 of the family's 71-position model. Rfam says of the family: Transfer RNA (tRNA) molecules are approximately 80 nucleotides in length. The record is from Rfam by way of RNAcentral. Lineage: Eukaryota; Metazoa; Chordata; Mammalia; Rodentia; Caviidae.